GACGAACGCUGGCGGCGUGCUUAACACAUGCAAGUCGAACGGAAAGGCCCUGCUUUUGUGGGGUGCUCGAGUGGCGAAAGGGUGAGUAACACGUGAGUAACCUGCCCUUGACUUUGGGAUAACUUCAGGAAACUGGGGCUAAUACCGGAUAGGAGCUCCUGCUGCAUGGUGGGGGUUGGAAAGUUUCGGAGGUUGGGGAUGGACUCGCGGCUUAUCAGCUUGUUGGUGGGGUAGUGGCUUACCAAGGCUUUGACGGGUAGCCGGCCUGAGAGGGUGACCGGCCACAUUGGGACUGAGAUACGGCCCAGACUCCUACGGGAGGCAGCAGUGGGGAAUAUUGCACAAUGGGCGGAAGCCUGAUGCAGCAACGCCGCGUGCGGGAUGACGGCCUUCGGGUUGUAAACCGCUUUCGCCUGUGACGAAGCGUGAGUGACGGUAAUGGGUAAAGAAGCACCGGCUAACUACGUG
Molecule: ribosomal RNA, 468 nt
Filed under: uncultured bacterium
Lineage: Bacteria
Description: partial 16S ribosomal RNA
Rfam family: Bacterial small subunit ribosomal RNA
Source: RNAcentral